RNAcentral lists this ribosomal RNA (446 nucleotides) under uncultured bacterium. RNAcentral describes it as "partial 16S ribosomal RNA". It matches the Rfam family "Bacterial small subunit ribosomal RNA", at positions 330 to 793 of the family's 1533-position model. The record is from RNAcentral.
UCCAGACUCCUACGGGAGGCAGCAGUGGGGAAUAUUGCACAAUGGGGGAAACCCUGAUGCAGCGACGCCGCGUGAGCGAUGAAGUAUUUCGGUAUGUAAAGCUCUAUCAGCAGGGAAGAAAAUGACGGUACCUGACUAAGAAGCCCCGGCUAACUACGUGCCAGCAGCCGCGGUAAUACGGAGGAUGCGAGCGUUAUCCGGAUUUAUUGGGUUUAAAGGGGGGGCAGGCGGAAGGGCAAGUCAGCGGGAAAAUGGGGGGGGCCCACCCCCUCCCCGCCGUUGAAACUUCGUUUCUUGAGUGGGCGAGAAGUACGCGGAAUGCGUGGUGUAGCGGUGAAAUGCAUAGAUAUCACGCAGAACUCCGAUUGCGAAGGCAGCGUACCGGCGCCCAACUGACGCUCAUGCACGAAAGCGUGGGUAUCGAACAGGAUUAGAUACCCCUGUAG